Molecule: non-coding RNA, 135 nt
Organism: Triticum aestivum (bread wheat)
Lineage: Eukaryota; Viridiplantae; Streptophyta; Magnoliopsida; Poales; Poaceae
Source: Rfam
CUAAUACUUCCUCCGUCCCAAAAUUCUUGUCUUAAAUUUUUCUAGAUACGGAUGUACCUGAUACUAAAACGUGACUUGAUACAUCCGUAUUUGGACAAAUUUAAGACAAGAAUUUUGGGACGGAGGGAGUACAAU